AAAGACUCAAUUCUUGGGUUUCCGUGUCCAACGUUUGAACGUCCGUCUUAUAUAAAAUUUUUAUGAUUAGUAUUUUUAUUACUGUUAGAUGAUAAAAUAUGAAUAAUACUUUAUAUAUAACUUAUAUUUUUAAAUUUUUUUAUAUUUUUUUUAAAUAAGACGGACAAUCAAAUGUUAGACAUGGAAACCUAGGAAUUAAG
This 200-nucleotide microRNA precursor is filed under the name Oryza glumipatula. RNAcentral describes it as "MIR812 microRNA precursor family". It matches the Rfam family "MIR812 microRNA precursor family". The record is from Rfam by way of RNAcentral. Lineage: Eukaryota; Viridiplantae; Streptophyta; Magnoliopsida; Poales; Poaceae.